GUGCAGAGCAGUCACUCCGGAGUCAGAACGUUUUUAUGACCUUACAGUCUGCUCUGGUCCUCUCUGUUGCAAAGCAUGAGAUCCGGGACCUGGCCCUACAGCGGCAGCCCCCCGACUCACCCUGACGGCCACCGCCAGCCCAGUUCCAGACCACAGUUCUUGUGCUGUCUGGCUUGUGCCGCGCGGACAGGAUGAGGAAGACAGCGCUGGAGUCCAGAGGCUGGGAGGGGCAGAGCUGACCCUAACCCUGCGCACCACCUUCAGAAUGCUCCGCACGGAGCCCCAGGCACUGGCAUCGCCUCGGAAUUUUUAUCUGCCCCAGCAGGUGCAUCUGUCAUCAGCGCCUCAGUGCCGCUGCUGCAGCAGAAACCCCAAGUCAGAGCGGCUUAGGUCAAAGACAAAGUGGCUGUGUCUGUCCUGGUUUUGCAUGCCUGUCCAGCAGAGGAGACCCAGGGCUGCCAGGCAUGUCCUUGGAUGCACAACCUUCCACGAGUCUGCAGAGGCGGGCAGAAAGCUCUGGACUCUGGACUCUGGACUCUGGCUCUUUGGGGUGUGGGACUCAGUAAAGCCCAAAGCCCGGAGCUCCGGCUCCUGCUGACUUCUCAUCCCAGUGUCCAUGCCCACGUGGGGUGUGACCGGCCGGGAUUCUCUGAUGCCCUGUGAGCCUGGCGUUUCCCCG
This 679-nucleotide long non-coding RNA is filed under the name Heterocephalus glaber (naked mole-rat). Its description in RNAcentral is "lncRNA (ENSHGLG00100044345.1)". The record is from RNAcentral. Lineage: Eukaryota; Metazoa; Chordata; Mammalia; Rodentia; Bathyergidae.